Molecule: ribosomal RNA, 253 nt
Filed under: uncultured bacterium
Lineage: Bacteria
Description: partial 16S ribosomal RNA
Rfam family: Bacterial small subunit ribosomal RNA
Source: RNAcentral
UACGGGGGGGGCAAGCGUUGUUCGGAAUUACUGGGCGUAAAGGGCUCGUAGGCGGCCAACUAAGUCCGACGUGAAAUCCCCAGGCCUAACCUGGGAACUGCGUCGGAUACUGGAUGGCUUGAAUCCGGGAGAGGGAUGCGGAAUUCCAGGUGUAGCGGUGAAAUGCGUAGAUAUCUGGAGGAACACCGGUGGCGAAGGCGGCAUCCUGGACCGGCAUUGACGCUGAGGAGCGAAAGCCAGGGGAGCAAACGGG